This is a long non-coding RNA of Poecilia reticulata (guppy), 338 nucleotides long. RefSeq lists it as uncharacterized. The record is from RefSeq and is a predicted model, not a curated record. NCBI's taxonomy places the organism in Eukaryota, Metazoa, Chordata, Actinopteri, Cyprinodontiformes, Poeciliidae.
GUUGAACCCAGAAUGUGUUCCUGAGCAGCGACAGUUUAAAAUCUACUGAUGUCCUGCAGUAACAAUUAGCACCAGAGUUAGCAUCACUCACCAGAGAAAUGUCCGUUUGGAAGAGCAACCGUUCAGACCAGUGACAUAAGGAUGACGGGACGACGCACCACAUGCCGGACUGAAGGGUUAAAAUGAUCAUCAGUCAUAUUUAAUCAYUCGGGGCUCAACGCUCGGGAAGAGCGAGGCGGAUGUCGCAGUCGGACGACGAGGAAGCGACGGCGGCGGCGCAUCAGACCGUCACUUCCUGAAACCACGAAAACCGGGAAAAAUGAUGAAAGUGCGCCAAG